Telopea speciosissima is the source of this 214-nucleotide long non-coding RNA. RefSeq lists it as uncharacterized. The record is from RefSeq and is a predicted model, not a curated record. NCBI's taxonomy places the organism in Eukaryota, Viridiplantae, Streptophyta, Magnoliopsida, Proteales, Proteaceae. The transcript has 2 exons.
UGGUCAAUCAUGGAGUCUAUUAAUGAGAGAUAAAUGCUUCAUUAAAUUGCUUCUGUUACAUUUUCUAUUUCUCUCUCUCCCUCAGAGGGAGAUGCUGAUCCACAUUUGCAGGUCCUUCGAUGUUGUUUAAGAGUAGGUGAAGAUGGUGGAAACUACACUUGUGUUUCUGAAUUAGAGGUAGGUUGUUCUAAUGGAAAUACACUCCGGUUUUAGU